AAACCUUCAAGCUAAGCUUGGUGUUGGGUGACUGUCCGCUUCACUGCGGUCUCGCCUCAAAAUUAUUGGCGGCCGGUACAUUGGCUUCGAGCGCAGCAGAAACGCGAACUCGGGCCCGUCGUAUUGGCUCCCAGAAGCUAUCUUCACAA
This 149-nucleotide unclassified non-coding RNA is filed under the name uncultured Ascomycota. RNAcentral's name for it is "sequence contains ITS2". Lineage: Eukaryota; Fungi; Ascomycota. The record is from RNAcentral.